Molecule: ribosomal RNA, 263 nt
Filed under: Forcipomyia bipunctata
Lineage: Eukaryota; Metazoa; Arthropoda; Insecta; Diptera; Ceratopogonidae
Description: partial 16S ribosomal RNA
Source: RNAcentral
GGCUUGUAUGAAGGGUCGAAUCAGAUAAAAUCUGUUUUAAUUUAAUUAAUUAUUGAAUUUUAAUUUUUAGUAAAAAUGCUAAAAUUUUUAUAAAAGACGAGAAGACCCUAUAAAUCUUGAUUUUAUUAAUUAUAUAUUUUUAUGUAUAAUAAUUAAAAUUUUAUAUUUAUUAAAAUUAUAUUGGGGCGAUAAUGAAAUUUAAUUAACUUUUAUAUUUUUUAAAUGUAUAUUUACAGAUUAAUGAUCCAAUUUUAUUGAUUAAA